This is a non-coding RNA of Paramuricea clavata, 392 nucleotides long. NCBI's taxonomy places the organism in Eukaryota, Metazoa, Cnidaria, Anthozoa, Malacalcyonacea, Plexauridae. The record is from the annotation of a GenBank genome assembly.
GGGGGGGUGUAUAUUAAAUGGAAUGGCCCGUUGGAGCAGCUAGCUAACGUCCAAAUGAUUUUUGAAGUUGGCCUGUCACUUCAGAAUUCUUAAUUCAACUAAGUUUUGAAGUACACAUUCUGAAUUUGGAGUCUGCAGCCAUUUAAUACAAUGUGUCGCAAUAUCACAGUCAAUAUCGAAUGACUGAAAAUAUGGACUUACAAAUCACGACAGUUUGAGGUAGCGAUCAAAGAUCAAACUCAAAUAUAUUGAUACAUACCUCGAGGAACGACCAGGGAACUAAAAUAUUCUGAAAAUAACUUUUUUACACCUCCAAAAUAUGUUGUGUAGACUCCAGAUGUGAAAGAUGUCGACCUUCCCUGGUUGUUGUUGUCAUUCGCCAUCAUUCAGUG